CGCAUGGCGUAUGUUCUGUAGUCCAGAUAGGGGAUUCCAGCCCUGUCCAGGUCACUGGUCAGCUCAUUGAUGUCUGUCUGCAGCUCGGCAAAGGCUGGGAUGAAAGAGAACACAGAUGAGAGUCCACACGGUUAUACAAAAUGCAAGACUGCAAAGUCUUAUAUCGACGUGAGCUCCGUAUGUAUGUAGGUAUGUGAAUCUAUCUCCAUGAUCUUCAGCACCGAAGUGAUGAAGUCAGCAGCUGAAGUUAAAUAUAUAGUCCUCAUGUCAGAGGAACUCCAUAUUUCACCGCUGCAGCCAGAUAUAAAAAAUACACCGUCUUUGUCGCCCUUGUCACUCAUUUUUAUCUUCCAUGCAGUAAAUUAGUUGUAGCUUUGGCCACAAAGAGAAGGACAGUGUGUGUGUGUGUGUGUGUACAGUGUGUGUGUAUCUUCCCAGUGUGAGGCUGCAGGUGAGCACUAGGUAAUUGGCUCCUGACUGACUGACUCCUGCUCAGGCACAUGGCUCAGCUGCUCUGCUCCGCUGCCUUCAGGGACCUUCCCAACCUGCAGCCAAUUGCAGCAGCAGCAGCAGCAGCCUCCUAACACCCUCUCAAAACUCAACCUUCUCCCACCAGUCUCUGCCCACGGCCCCUGUAUGACCAACUGGGCUUACAGGCACACAAGGGGUGUACACAUGCUCACCAGGAGGGAUCCAGGUACCGUCUAAAUCCCCCCGGAGGGCAGCACACUCCUGGUGUCUGUUAAUGGCCUCCAUGUCUUGCGUCUGACCGUUGUGAAAGACGGCUGCAGUCAGUUGUUUUCACUGCAUGACAACACCAGAUGGGCCACUCAGGAGUAGCUGGAGGGUAAAAAUAAUAAGAUCCACUCCGGAUGAUGAAAAUCCCCUGAAUGUUGUUAAACCUACUCCUCAGUGUGCUGCUCAGCGAUUGGCUAUAACGACCUUCGGGACGACACCAGAGGGCGAUCAAAAUAUUUAAAGGUAGUACGGCAUGAGUAUGAAGAUUCUACAGCACAGUCAGAGCCUGUGAACCGAAGAGGUCGGUCUGAGGUAGCAGUAUCUGUGGUCCAUUUUAUUCUAAAUUAAACUCAUGAUUUUCCUUGAUUAUUUUUUAUUUUUCAUUUCAGAGGAACCUGUUGCUGUAUAGUUAUCUACUUACAGUUCACACAAGGGAUGCAUUGUGUGUUGUAUGUUGUUAGACUACAGAGAGUGUUGCAUUCAUGGUCUGACCUACUAUAGACAUUUGUCUUCACUGGCCGAUCAUGUAAUUCUCUCAGUUUCUCUCUACUUUCCUCAAAUGACCACAGACCGGGCCACUCUGAGGCUUUUUCUGGACCUCAUGUGACCCUUGAGCCACCACUUGAAUAGCUUGUUUUUAAAAUAACUGUACAGUUUGUCACACCACCUUCGAGGUAAAAAAAGACAACUGAGAAAAACAUUAAAGUGUAAUUGAUUUGACAUUUGGGGCGUAAAUAAAAUGUACUUCAUACUAAACGCUUGUCAACAACAGGAUGUAGUAUUUAUGCCUCAGUCUAAAUACUACAGCUACAUCACAAUGGAAGCGGUGAGAGCAGCCGAG
This is a long non-coding RNA of Cynoglossus semilaevis (tongue sole), 1579 nucleotides long. RefSeq lists it as uncharacterized. The transcript is spliced from 2 exons. The record is from RefSeq and is a predicted model, not a curated record. Lineage: Eukaryota; Metazoa; Chordata; Actinopteri; Pleuronectiformes; Cynoglossidae.